GAGGCUACUGCUAUUGGAGUUCGAUUAAGCCAUGCGAGUCUAAGGGGUACUUGUACCCCUGGCGUAAUGCUCAGUAACACGUGGAUAAUCUACCCUCAGGUGGGGCAUAAACCCGCGAAAGUGGGGCUAAUUCCCCAUAGAUACAGAUAGCUGGAAUGCUUCUGUAUUCAAAGCUCCGGCGCCUGAGGAUGAGUCUGCGGCCUAUCAGGUUGUAGUCAGGGUCAUGACCUGACUAGCCAGCGACGGGUAUGGGGUGUGAGAGCACUUGCCCAGAGAUGGUUUCUGAGACACGAAACCAGGCCCUACGGGGCGCAGCAGGCGCGAAAACUUCGCAAUGCGGGAAACCGUGACGAGGGAACUCCAAGUGUCUAUGCAUUGCAUAGACUGUUUUUUAGCCUAAAUAGCUAUUAGAGUAAGGGGUGGGUAAGACCGGUGCCAGCCGCCGCGGUAACACCGGCACCCCGAGUGGUAGCCACUAUUAUUGGGCCUAAAGCGUUCGUAGCCGGUUUGGUAAAUUCUUGGGUAAAUCGUACCGCUUAACGGUGCGGAUUCCGGGGACACUACCAGACUUGAGACCGGGGGAGAUCAGAGGUACUUGCGGGGGAGCGGUGAAAUGUUGUAAUCCCGCAGGGACCACCAGUGGCGAAGGCGUCUGAUCAGAACGGCUCUGACGGUGAGGAACGAAACCCUGGGGCGCAAACGGGAUUAGAUACCCCGGUAGUCCAGGGCGUAAACGCUGCUGACUUGGUGUUGGGGAUCCUACGAGGAUGUCCAGUGCUGGCGCGAAGGUAUUAAGUCAGCCGCCUGGGGAGUACGGUCGCAAGACUGAAACUUAAAGGAAUUGGCGGGGGAGCACUGCAACGUGUGGAGCGUGCGGUUUAAUUGGAGUCAACGC
RNAcentral lists this ribosomal RNA (895 nucleotides) under uncultured Candidatus Poseidoniales archaeon. RNAcentral's name for it is "bacterial SSU rRNA". It matches the Rfam family "Archaeal small subunit ribosomal RNA", at positions 20 to 918 of the family's 1478-position model. Lineage: Archaea; Methanobacteriati; Thermoplasmatota; Candidatus Poseidoniia; Candidatus Poseidoniales. The record is from RNAcentral.